RNAcentral lists this ribosomal RNA (1214 nucleotides) under metagenome. RNAcentral describes it as "bacterial SSU rRNA". It matches the Rfam family "Bacterial small subunit ribosomal RNA", at positions 306 to 1498 of the family's 1533-position model. The record is from RNAcentral.
AGCCACACUGGGACUGAGACACUGCCCAGAGUCCUACGGGAGGCUGCAGUCGAGGAUCAUUCGCAAUGCGCAAAAGCGUGACGAUGCGGCGCUGCGUGGGGGAUGACGGCCUUCGGGUUGUAAACUCCUGUCAUUUGGGAACAAUAGGCUUGGUGAUAAUACUGCCAGGACUUGAUGGUACCAGAAGAGGAAGCCACGGCUAACUCUGUGCCAGCAGCCGCGGUAACACAGAGGUGGCGAGCGUUGUUCGGAUUUACUGGGCGUAAAGGGUGCGUAGGCGGUAUCGUGUGUCGGGUGUGAAAUCUCAUCGCUCAACGAUGAAAUCGCAUUCGAAACUGCGAUACUAGAGGGCAGGAGAGGAAAGCGGAAUUCUUGGUGUAGCGGUGGAAUGCGUUGAUAUCAAGAAGAACACCUGUGGCGAAGGCGGCUUUCUGGAAUGCUACUGACGCUGAGGCACGAAAGUUGGGGUAGCAAACAGGAUUAGAUACCCUGGUAGUCCCAACCGUAAACGGUGUACACUUGGUGUAGGGGGAUUUGACCCCCUCUGUGCCGGAGCUAACGCGUUAAGUGUACCGCCUGGGGAGUACGGCCGCAAGGCUAAAACUCAAAGAAAUUGACGGGGGCCCGCACAAGCGGAGGAGCAUGUGGCUCAAUUCGAUGCAACGCGAAGAACCUUACCAGGGCUUGACAUGCAGCUGCUACUCCCCUGAAAGGGGGAUUCCUUCGAGGGUGCUGCACAGGUGUUGCAUGGCUGUCGUCAGUUCGUGCCGUGAGGUGUUGGGUUAAGUCCCGCAACGAACGCAACCCCUAUGGUUAGUUGCCACCACAGAUGUUAAGUCUGUGAGCACUCUAAUCAGACUGCCCGUGCAAGCGGGAGGAAGGUGGGGACGACGUCAAGUCAGUAUGGCCCUUAUGCCCUGGGCUGCACACGUGCUACAAUGGCUGGCACAAUGGGACGCAAGACCGCGAGGUGGAGCCAAUCCCCAAAGCCAGCCCCAGUUCGGACUGGAGUCUGCAAUUCGACUCCAUGAAGUUGGAUUCGCUAGUAAUGGCGCAUCAGCUACGGCGCCGUGAAUACGUUCCCGGGCCUUGUACUCACCGCCCGUCACAUCAUGAAAGCCUUCUGCACCCGAAGUCGCUGAUCCAACUCGCUUUUAGUGAGAGGAAGGCGCCGAAGGUGUGGGGGGUGAUUGGGAUGAAGUCGAAACAAGGUA